CCUACGAGGGUCAGCAGUGAGGACUAUUGGUCAAUGGGCGGAAGCCUGAACCAGCCAAGUAGCGUGCAGGAUGACGGCCCUACGGGUUGUAAACUGCUUUUAUACGGGAAUAACGCGCCUUACGUGUAGGGCUUUGCAUGUACCGUAUGAAUAAGGACCGGCUAAUUCCGUGCCAGCAACCGCGGUAAUACGGAAGGUCCGGGCGUUAUCCGGAUUUAUUGGGUUUAAAGGGAGCGUAGGCCGCAUGUCAAGCGUGCUGUGAAAUGUCCGGGCUCAACCCGGGCCUUGCAGCGCGAACUGGCGUGCUUGAGUCCGCGGAAAGCAGGCGGAAUUCGUCGUGUAGCGGUGAAAUGCUUAGAUAUCAGGAGGAACAUCGGUGGCGAAAGCGCUUUACUGGACCAUUAUUGACGCUGAGGAACGAAAGCCAGGGGAGCAAAUGGGAUUAGAUACCCGGGUAGUC
RNAcentral lists this ribosomal RNA (460 nucleotides) under uncultured bacterium. RNAcentral describes it as "partial 16S ribosomal RNA". It matches the Rfam family "Bacterial small subunit ribosomal RNA", at positions 338 to 795 of the family's 1533-position model. The record is from RNAcentral.